AGGAGGGCACACCCAAGGGGACUACAACUCCCAGAAUGCACCUCCCACUCAGCUGCUUUGCUUCUCCCUCCCUCUCACCCCGUUCCUUUGGUUUUCCUCAAGCCAGAAUCUCUGUCUACCGACUGCUGUUCUCGGAACCCGUGCCCUUGGCUGCCCCUCCUGCGCUGUGCCAAAGCGCCAGAGUGAUUUCAAACGCACAGUCGUUUUGUUUAAAGCCGUGACCGACGAAGCACGAAGAAGGAAGAAAGGGCAGGCAGCUGACUGAAAAACUGGUUGCCUGUGAACCUAGCCCUAUUGCUGGGGGCGGAGGUUGGAUACUGGGGACUUUUGAGGAAAUACCAACGUCCCUGCCAAAGAAAGGGGCCAGAGGCACGGAAUCUCCCUAUUUCCCGUGUAAUAGAUGUUGUUCUAUGUUUUUAUAGCUAAUGUAUUUCGGAAAUGGCCCGCGAGGGACUUAAGGACAUGGAUUUGCCCUUAAUUCGCCUGAGUUACGAAUUUAAUUCAGCUGCUUCCUUGAGACCAAGUGACAGACGACCCACAAGUGAAGAUUUUGCCGCACUGGCUUGAACAAACCCCUGCGAAACAGGACGAUGUCAUAAUCUCAAGCACUCUGAAAUUAAAACUCCUCAAUUCCGCCAGAUUACACUCAUUCGUUAAAGAGGUGCCCCCCGAAGAAAAGAGGAUAACCGUGUAUCCCACUUUUAGAAGGAGCCAGCUAUAGCCUUCAUGUUUUCCUGCCAGACUCCAGCCUCCAUGACCUUCCCUGAGUUCCAAAGGGCAGAUUCCAACAGUUGCCAAUCAAGGGAGGAGUGGCCAAGAAACCACCUGAGGGGAGAUUAAAGGGACCAGAGAAGCUCAUCAAGUCUUGAUGCUGUAUUUGAUGUGUAGGAGAAGCGGGUGCCCUUCACUAGGGAGCCACACACGCACUCAGUCCAGGAUUUGGAGAAAAUGGAGGAGGAGAUCUGCCAGGAGGUGGAGUGGAUUCGUUUCCUGGGGCUGCCAUGACCACAAAUUGAGUGGCUCAGAACAACAGAAAUGUACUCGCUCACAGGUAUGGAGGUCACGCGUCUGAAAUCAAGGUGCUGGCAGGGACAUCCUCCCCCCGAAGGCUCUAGGGGAGACUCCUUUCUCACUUCUGGUGGUGGCUGGCAAUCUUUAUAGCUGCUUCACUCCAAUCCCUGCCUCUGUUUUCACAUGGCAUUCUUCCUUAUGUGUCUGUAUUUCUGUGUCUUCACAUGGUCUUCUUAUAAGGACAUCAGUCUUCUUAUAAGGACAUCAGUCAUUGGAUUUAGGGCCCCGCCCUGUCCUAGUAGGACCUCAUCUUAAUGUAACUAAUUACAUUUGCAAAGACCCUAUUUCCAAAUAAGGUUACAUUCUGAGAGUCUAGAUGGAUGUGAAUUGGGGGAGAGGGGAGGGGACAACACCCACAAGUUCAACCCCCUACACGGAGGA
Long non-coding RNA from Orcinus orca (killer whale), 1452 nucleotides. RefSeq lists it as uncharacterized. The record is from RefSeq and is a predicted model, not a curated record. The transcript is spliced from 3 exons. NCBI's taxonomy places the organism in Eukaryota, Metazoa, Chordata, Mammalia, Artiodactyla, Delphinidae.